RNAcentral lists this ribosomal RNA (481 nucleotides) under uncultured bacterium. RNAcentral describes it as "partial 16S ribosomal RNA". It matches the Rfam family "Bacterial small subunit ribosomal RNA", at positions 30 to 506 of the family's 1533-position model. The record is from RNAcentral.
AUUGAACGCUGGCGGCAUGCUUUACACAUGCAAGUCGAACGGUAACAGCACUUCGGUGGCUGACGAGUGGCGAACGGGUGAGUAAUACAUCGGAACGUGCCUAGUAGUGGGGGAUAACUACUCGAAAGAGUAGCUAAUACCGCAUGAGAUCUAAGGAUGACAGCAGGGGACCUUCGGGCCUUGCGCUACUAGAGCGGCUGAUGGCAGAUUAGGUAGUUGGUGGGAUAAAAGCUUACCAAGCCGACGAUCUGUAGCUGGUCUGAGAGGACGACCAGCCACACUGGGACUGAGACACGGCCCAGACUCCUACGGGAGGCAGCAGUGGGGAAUUUUGGACAAUGGGCGCAAGCCUGAUCCAGCAAUGCCGCGUGCAGGAUGAAGGCCUUCGGGUUGUAAACUGCUUUUGUACGGAACGAAAAGCCCUCUUCUAAUACAGGAGGGUCAUGACGGUACCGUAAGAAUAAGCACCGGCUAACUACGU